AGUGAACGCUGGCGGUAGGCCUAACACAUGCAAGUCGAACGGCAGCACAGUAAGAGCUUGCUCUUACGGGUGGCGAGUGGCGGACGGGUGAGGAAUACAUCGGAAUCUACUUUUUCGUGGGGGAUAACGUAGGGAAACUUACGCUAAUACCGCAUACGACCUACGGGUGAAAGCAGGGGAUCUUCGGACCUUGCGCGAUUGAAUGAGCCGAUGUCGGAUUAGCUGGUUGGCGGGGUAAAGGCCCACCAAGGCGACGAUCCGUAGCUGGUCUGAGAGGAGGAUCAGCCACCCUGGAACUGAGACACGGUCCAGACUCCUACGGGAGGCAGCAGUGGGGAAUAUUGGACAAUGGGCGCAAGCCUGCUCCAGCCAUGCCGCGUGGGUGAAGAAGGCCUUCGGGUUGUAAAGCCCUUUUGUUGGGAAAGAAAAGCAGCAGGUUAAUACCCCGCUGUUCUGACGGUACCCAAAGAAUAAGCACCGGCUAACUUCGUG
Molecule: ribosomal RNA, 492 nt
Filed under: uncultured bacterium
Lineage: Bacteria
Description: partial 16S ribosomal RNA
Rfam family: Bacterial small subunit ribosomal RNA
Source: RNAcentral